GUCAGACGAACGCUGGCGGCGUGCCUAAUACAUGCAAGUCGAGCGGACAGAAGGGAGCUUGCUCCCGGAUGUUAGCGGCGGACGGGUGAGUAACACGUGGGUAACCUGCCUGUAAGACUGGGAUAACUCCGGGAAACCGGAGCUAAUACCGGAUAGUUCCUUGAACCGCAUGGUUCAAGGAUGAAAGACGGUUUCGGCUGUCACUUACAGAUGGACCCGCGGCGCAUUAGCUAGUUGGUGGGGUAAUGGCUCACCAAGGCGACGAUGCGUAGCCGACCUGAGAGGGUGAUCGGCCACACUGGGACUGAGACACGGCCCAGACUCCUACGGGAGGCAGCAGUAGGGAAUCUUCCGCAAUGGACGAAAGUCUGACGGAGCAACGCCGCGUGAGUGAUGAAGGUUUUCGGAUCGUAAAGCUCUGUUGUUAGGGAAGAACAAGUGCGAGAGUAACUGCUCGCACCUUGACGGUACCUAACCAGAAAGCCACGGCUAACUACGUGCCAGCAGCCGCGGUAAUACGUAGGUGGCAAGCGUUGUCCGGAAUUAUUGGGCGUAAAGGGCUCGCAGGCGGUUUCUUAAGUCUGAUGUGAAAGCCCCCGGCUCAACCGGGGAGGGUCAUUGGAAACUGGGAAACUUGAGUGCAGAAGAGGAGAGUGGAAUUCCACGUGUAGCGGUGAAAUGCGUAGAGAUGUGGAGGAACACCAGUGGCGAAGGCGACUCUCUGGUCUGUAACUGACGCUGAGGAGCGAAAGCGGGGG
RNAcentral lists this ribosomal RNA (758 nucleotides) under Bacillus pumilus. RNAcentral's name for it is "bacterial SSU rRNA". It matches the Rfam family "Bacterial small subunit ribosomal RNA", at positions 23 to 765 of the family's 1533-position model. Lineage: Bacteria; Bacillati; Bacillota; Bacilli; Caryophanales; Bacillaceae. The record is from RNAcentral.